UAUAAAUAGACAAUUUUUCCCUUAAUUUUUUUCUCCCCUCUUCCUGCAUUUUUGGGUUGACUUUUUGGUCUAGAAUUGGAGAAAAGGGAUCAAAUUUGCAAUUUCAUAGCAGUUUUGGGUAAUACUGAUGAUAUUACAGCGGAGGGAUAGGGGGUGUAAAGUGUCUUUCUGCAGAGCAGUCAUUGUGUCGGAAGUGAGAUUUUCACCCCAGUCAACUUCAAAUCCGUGUAGCAAAAAAUCUAAAUGGUCAACCCCCUACAAAAUUAUGAUGAGGAGAUUGCCAAAUGUUGUCCCCAUUGUGCCUAUAAAGAUUGGAACCAACGGAAUGUUGAGAAAAAAGCUACAGCCUGUGAUGUUACAGCCAUUUAACAUUGAAGUCAAUGGGCAAAUAAUUGCUAGUCUGAGUCCUGAUGAGAUAAAGAAACAUGGCCGACUCGGGAUGUUGAUAUUUUUUCAAGGGCUUAUUUCCUGAAGUUUUGAAUGGAAAGUGUUAGAAAUAGUAAGAAUACUGCUUUUUUAUUGCCCAGCAGUGCCAGGGCAAUGUUUCAUAGAGUGGAAUGAUUGACCUCAACACAAGUAUUAAAAAAAAAGAAGCAAAACAGGUCUACAUCUCAAAACCUGAUCUCUUCCUGGACUGGCUUUAGGAGAACGAUGAUGCAUAUCAAUUUCAUCCCUGAUCUCUAUGACACCUGUGGUGGAAGUGGAGGGCAAAUCGUAAUCAGUUUGGGACCUCUGUAAACUUUGCUUUUUGGUGAUGACUUAAUUUCCGAGCUUGAAAAGGACGCUUGUGUGUUUAUCAUGGCCUCUCAUAUUGGAAGAUAACAUUAAUGGCUUGUGUGUUGAUCGACGGUUGUGCAUAUCUCUUGGUCAGGAAAGUUGUAGGCACCAUCGCCAUUGUAAAUCAUUUGACAGGCUCGAGUGAACGGGGCGACCUAUGAUUGGUCAGCAAUGUAUCAGAUUCCAUACCGGGGGGUGGGGAUGAAAAAACUGUUGUAGUGUUACAUAAUCAGAUUAUUUCAACUUACUUAUCCUGUGGAAAUACAGCUAUAUAGGAGAUAUUUUGAAAUUCAUAGGCACUGCAUGUUUCAACAUUUUAGAUUUGACCACAAUUUGGCACUUAAAACUAUGUUAACAGAGAAAAACUGUGUGGUUUUCGAUGAAAGUGUUAAAAGUCUAAUAUUGCAUCAUGAUUACUGUUUUAAAGUAUUUUCGUGUUUGAUUUAUAUUGAAUUCAUCUCAUCUUUUUGAAGAAUGCAUUUAUGUUCAAAAAUAAAAAUGUUCUGUGGAAUUCAAAAUUCAUGUGCUUUUAAAUUAUCAGAUUCCAAACUGGGGGGUAGGGAUGAAAAAGCUGUUGUAGUGUUACAUAAUCAGAUUAUUUCAACUUACUUAUCCUAUGGAAAUACAGCUAUAUAGGAGAUAUUUUAAAAUUGAUAGGCACUGCAUGUUUCAACAUUUUAGAUUUGACCACAAUUUGGCACUUG
Patella vulgata (common limpet) is the source of this 1481-nucleotide long non-coding RNA. RefSeq lists it as uncharacterized. Lineage: Eukaryota; Metazoa; Mollusca; Gastropoda; Patellidae. The transcript has 3 exons. The record is from RefSeq and is a predicted model, not a curated record.